GACGAACGCUGGCGGCGUGCUUAACACAUGCAAGUCGAACGGAAAGGCCCUGCUUGCAGGGUGCUCGAGUGGCGAACGGGUGAGUAACACGUGGGUGACCUGCCCCUUACUUUGGGAUAAGCCUGGGAAACUGGGUCUAAUACUGGAUAGGACCAUGCUGUAGGUGGUGUGGUGGAAAGAUUAGUUUCGGUAAGGGAUGAGCUCGCGGCCUAUCAGCUUGUUGGUGGGGUAAUGGCCUACCAAGGCGUCGACGGGUAGCCGGCCUGAGAGGGUGGACGGCCACAUUGGGACUGAGAUACGGCCCAGACUCCUACGGGAGGCAGCAGAGGGGAAUAUUGCACAAUGGGCGCAAGCCUGAUGCAGCGACGCCGCGUGGGGGAUGACGGCCUUCGGGUUGUAAACUCCUUUCAGCCAUGACGAAGCCCUUGUGGUGACGGUAGUGGUAGAAGAAGCACCGGCUAACUACGUG
RNAcentral lists this ribosomal RNA (469 nucleotides) under uncultured bacterium. RNAcentral's name for it is "partial 16S ribosomal RNA". It matches the Rfam family "Bacterial small subunit ribosomal RNA", at positions 28 to 507 of the family's 1533-position model. The record is from RNAcentral.